GAUGAAGAACGCAGCGAAAUGCGAUAAGUAAUGUGAAUUGCAGAAUUCAGUGAAUCAACGAAUCUUUGAACGCACAUUGCGCCCGCCAGUAUUCUGGCGGGCAUGCCUGUCUGAGCGUCAUUUCAACCCUCAUGCCCCUAGGGCGUGGUGUUGGGGAUCGGCCAAAGCCCGCGAGGGACGGCCGGCCCCUAAAUCUAGUGGCGGACCCGUCGUGGCCUCCUCUGCGAAGUAGUGAUAUUCCGCAUCGGAGAGCGAUGAGCCCCUGCCGUUAAACCCCCAACUUUCCAAGGUUGACCUCAGAUCAGGUAGGAAUACCCGCUGAACUUAAGCAUAUCAAUAAGCGGAGGA
Molecule: unclassified non-coding RNA, 348 nt
Filed under: soil metagenome
Description: partial contains 5.8S ribosomal RNA, internal transcribed spacer 2, and large subunit ribosomal RNA
Rfam family: 5.8S ribosomal RNA (bases 1-120)
Source: RNAcentral